AAAUUCAUUCUUGCAGGGGGAGUUCGCUCAUUCAGGGGGAGUUUUGCUGAAAUUUGUGAGUUUUGCUGCUGAGAUUGCUUUUGGGAGAUUGAUAUGGCUUCUGAUUCACUUUGGGGAGAGUGAAUUUCUGUCUUGAUUGUGUCGAGCCUAGUUUUUUCGCUAGCCCAUGUCUUUGGGGAUUAAGAUCGUUUCUUUUUCUUUCUUUUUAUUUUUCUUUUUCAGUACGAAUAAAU
Molecule: long non-coding RNA, 233 nt
Filed under: Setaria italica (foxtail millet)
Lineage: Eukaryota; Viridiplantae; Streptophyta; Magnoliopsida; Poales; Poaceae
Description: long non-coding RNA (SITA_LNC000501)
Source: RNAcentral